This is a long non-coding RNA of Cryptomeria japonica (Japanese cedar), 2095 nucleotides long. RefSeq lists it as uncharacterized. The transcript is spliced from 5 exons. The record is from RefSeq and is a predicted model, not a curated record. Lineage: Eukaryota; Viridiplantae; Streptophyta; Pinopsida; Cupressales; Cupressaceae.
GCCAGUUAGGGUUACACCGCCAGCAAUCGUCGAUUGGAUUUCCGGUUCCACAGUUCACGUAGCUCAGCUGUCGCCGUGAGUCGUUAAUGCUCCUGUAUAGCCAUUUUGCAACACUAAUACUGUUAGUAGCAGGGGAUUAAAAAAGCAUUCAUGGAUCAUACUCAUGGAGAAAUGUUGAAGAAAAAAGUUAACAUGAUCAAGUCGAAAAAUAUACAGCUCAAGAACAGUAGACAGGUAUAUCGCCCAUUCAUAUUCCUGUACAUGCACAGAACUCGGUGUUUGCAUUGCCAAAUUGCUGAGGAUUAAUUGCAUUUAACUUCCCUAGACAGUGAUUGAAAAAGAAGAUCCCAGGGGCGUCUCGACAACAUUUUUGGUAUUUAUCUUUUAUCUCCAAUAAUAGAAGCAGGCUUUCAACAGUCACAAAUAAAUGAUAUUAGUCGUUCACUUACAUUAUCUACAGCUUUAUUGCUUGUCGAACAAACAAUCGCAUUUAUUUUUAUUCUCCUGCAUUUUAGAUCUUUAUUUGUAAUUUGUCUAGCUAAUUCUUGAGCUAUGAAUUAACAGUACCGUCUCCAUCUCUAUCCAUUAAUGCCUCUGCAUUGAUCUUAGAUAAACAUUUUAGUCAUUAUUCUAUCAAAAUGUAUGGAACAGCUUUGACUAUAAUGCAGGGUUGUCUAUAAAUCUAACGAUACCUUUUGCAAAUUUCAGUAUUUAAAGUGCGAAUACCUUUGAACCAUCUCAACAACUCUUUCUGGAUCAUCUAUUGAAGAAGAUUUGUUCCGCGUAUGGUGAUGCUGCAUUUGUUUAGGGGAUCUACUUCCCGAAAAUCCCAGCAAAUUGUUGAAAAAUCCAAAUGUCUUGGCUGCAGAACAUUUUGGUAUGACGAUUUGGAUGCACAGAACUCCAAUCACUACAAUGCAGCAGGAUAACUGCCUCAUCCUUUGCAUUCUCAUUUCAAUUCUACAGAAAUCUCACAACUGUGACUGAUGAGAAGGGAAGAAAAAGCUCUACCGACUGACAGGGGAACAUAAGUUGCUCUGUACCGGCUUUUGGACUGUCUCGAAGUACGCUUCUGACCAAUCGCAGCUCUUUUUUCAAGAAGAGUGCUUUUACAAAAGCUCGAUUGAAGACUAGAAAUAUGACCAAUGUAGAAAUCGAUGAUUAUCGAUUUCUAUACCGUUCCUCAAUAUUUAAUGCCAAUUCAGAAAUUACUGCUUUAUAUGCCGUUCAAUGAUAAUUCAGGAAAUUGCAGACUGUAUUCUCUGAGUUGCACGAUUCUCGUGAACAACCAACUCUCUAUUUAUGGUUGCAUUUGAUUGAGUCCCUGUUCACACGGGGUCAUUUAAAAGGACUGAAGAAAAGAAUUUUGGUUUUCCUGCAUUGCAUUCUUUCAUCACUAGACAUCACAGAAGUAAUUAUUGGUAUAAGAAUCCAAAGCCUUGGCGGUUACACAUGCUUACUUCACUAGAAGUUAAUUAAUAUUCCUCACUAAACAUCAACUUUAAUAGACCUUUUACAACAGGGCCCAAUGCAUUUUUUAACAUUUAUUUUCAUAGCUUCAGGUAGUUUGAUUAUAUGUACAAAUUCAUUAACUUGUUGCGUAUACAUUUAAACAGUGAUGUAGGUUCUGAACUUUGUUCUUUUAACUAUUCGUAUGAUGUAUAAGCUUGAUGCUGGAGCACAAAUUCAAGAUAGAAACGGUGCUCCUAUCAAUUAAUGGAAGCUUUCAAAUCGAGUAAGCAAUUGUUGAUCUAGUCAUAUGUAUGGACAACAUGAGGCAAAGGUCAAAAGAAUACAACAAUGCACAGCUAAGGGUGAUGGGUCAAGCUGCCCAGUUGUUAAACAUUACACGCAAACCGUCCACUUUUUGAACACUGGACGUAAUCUAUCCUUUUGCGGUGGCAGGGCCCACUUCACACGCAGGCAUGCAGGGUAAUGUCUGAUCGUCUUUGAUGGCUUUGAAAAAAGAGACAUUUUCACCCUUAAUUAUCUUUCGCACGUGCAUCUGCCUUCCUUUCUUCCAAAGAAAUUCUGGAUUUCAGUAAUACUAAUGAAUAUUGAAAUAAUUCACUUUUGACAUAAUGUUAACGCACCU